This 274-nucleotide ribosomal RNA is filed under the name uncultured bacterium. Its description in RNAcentral is "partial 16S ribosomal RNA". It matches the Rfam family "Bacterial small subunit ribosomal RNA", at positions 523 to 796 of the family's 1533-position model. The record is from RNAcentral.
AUACGGGGGGUGCAAGCGUUAAUCGGAAUUACUGGGCGUAAAGCGCGCGUAGGCGGUUUGCUCAGUCGGAUGUGAAAGCCCAGGGCUCAACCUUGGAACUGCAUACGAUACUGGCAAACUGGAGUGUGAGAGAGGAUAGUGGAAUUUCCGGUGUAGCGGUGAAAUGCGUAGAUAUCGGAAGGAACAUCAGUGGCGAAGGCGACUGUCUGGCUCAACACUGACGCUGAGGUGCGAAAGCGUGGGUAGCAAACAGGAUUAGAAACCCUAGUAGUCC